GAUGAACGCUAGCGGCAGGCCUAAUACAUGCAAGUCGGACGGGAUUUGGGAGCUUGCUCCUAAUGAGAGUGGCGCACGGGUGCGUAACACGUAUGUAACCUACCUUAGUCAGGGGGAUAGCCUCUCGAAAGAGAGAUUAAGACCGCAUAACAUUAUUAAGUGGCAUCAUUUAAUAAUCAAAUAUUUAUAGGACUAAGAUGGGCAUGCGGAACAUUAGCUAGUUGGUAGGGUAACGGCCUACCAAGGCUACGAUGUUUAGGGGAUCUGAGAGGAUGGCCCCCCACACUGGUACUGAGACACGGACCAGACUCCUACGGGAGGCAGCAGUAAGGAAUAUUGGUCAAUGGGCGGAAGCCUGAACCAGCCAUGCCGCGUGCAGGAAGACGGCCCUACGGGUUGUAAACUGCUUUUAUACGGGAAUAAACCUACUUACGUGUAAGUAGCUGAAUGUACUGUAAGAAUAAGGAUCGGCUAACUCCGUGCCAGCAGCCGCGGUAA
This 498-nucleotide ribosomal RNA is filed under the name uncultured bacterium. RNAcentral's name for it is "partial 16S ribosomal RNA". It matches the Rfam family "Bacterial small subunit ribosomal RNA", at positions 28 to 523 of the family's 1533-position model. The record is from RNAcentral.